UGCUUUUCUGCUGUAGUGCCACUGGUGACGCUGUAAUUUGGCAUUCAGCUGUUUCAACGCGGCCACCGGAAAUUGGACGACCUUGUUAGGAAAGUAAUAUAAAGCAUCUGAUGCUGUUCUUAUGAAUCUGAGUGACGCUUUAAUCGUGUUGUACUGUCGUCGAUGUGAAUCCGUGUGUAUUUCUGAUCGUUUGUUAAAUCCCUAUCACCACGAACGGUGCUGUUUAUGACGACGAGGCAUUUUAUUUUGAAGGAUUUGAUUUGCCCGGAGACAACAGCUGUGAAUUAUGACGACUUGACACUAAAAAUAGCAGCGUCCGACUUUGUUCCCUGACAAGAACAGUUCCUGCUUCUCUUACCAAACAAGACAAAUCAUCACCUCAUCAACAGCAGGACGGAUGUUCUUCAUCAUCGUCACCAUCACCCUCUCAUUAACGCCUGACACCUGGAGUGCAGUGGGUCCAGUACGCAGCGGAUGCAGCCAGUGUCCGGCUGCAGGCGACCCUCUCGAUGGUCUCUCCCACCAUGAAAGCGGUGGUGGAUGUCGUGUGGGCGGUGUGGAGCAUCGGGGCCUCCAUCUAUGACUACAUCCACACCAACGCCAUGGAAGAGCGCAUCCACGCCCUGGAGCACGUCAUCACCAUCCACCAGUGUGUGAUCGGACUGCUGUCUGCUGGAGUUCUGGUACUCUUCACUUACAUCGUCUUCAAAAAGCUCUGAGCUGGUGUGAAAUGGUGGUGGGAUUGUUAUUGAACAUGGUGAAGCAAUCACUGAGCAGACUUUACACUGGAGGACAUGUCUUUAAACAGUUAAACACUUUUAAAAUCUUUACAGUUUCACCCUUUUCAUAAGUCGUUCAUGCUCUCUAUGUAGUGAUUGUGGAGAAGGGGACCAUGUAGAAUGUUUAAACGCCAGCUUUUGUAACUGGCAGUCACUAUCUUUCAAUUUUUCCCAUUAAAGCACUAAAAUGAAUAAUUAUCCCCCUAUUAAUUUGAAUUCCUACUUCCAUUUACCUGACUAAGCAGUUUAUUGCAGCUUUUGUUAGAUGAAGAUUCCUCAGGUUUGCUAUCUCAUAAUUAAAAAAGCAAAUCAGUAAAUUAGGAGAGUCCUACACAAUGUUUUCAGUGUGUGUCCAUGGCCUGGACAGCAGAAUUUAGUCAUUUCAUAAAGGGAUUAGUAUUGGAAAUAAUAAUUUGCCACCACAACUUCUGCCUUAAUGCACAGUCUGUUUUCACACCCAUCAAAUUAGUGAUGAUGUGUAUGGAGUGUAAUAUUUAGUGUAUUUCUCUAAUUAUGGAUCAUAUGGAAUCAUAAUCAUAUCGAUCCCUAAUGAAUGUUCCUUUCAAUAAAGCAUUUAAAGUCGUA
Long non-coding RNA from Solea senegalensis (Senegalese sole), 1364 nucleotides. RefSeq lists it as uncharacterized. The transcript is spliced from 2 exons. Lineage: Eukaryota; Metazoa; Chordata; Actinopteri; Pleuronectiformes; Soleidae. The record is from RefSeq and is a predicted model, not a curated record.